UACGAAGGGUGCAAACGUUGCUCGGAAUCAUUGGGCGUAAAGCGCACGUAGGCGGCGCAGUAAGUCGGACGUGAAAUCCCUCGGCUCAACCGAGGACGUGCAUCCGAAACUACUGUGCUCGAGUAUGGAAGAGGGUCGCGGAAUUCUCGGUGUAGAGGUGAAAUUCGUAGAUAUCGGGAGGAACACCAGUGGCGAAGGCGGCGACCUGGGCCAAUACUGACGCUGAGGCGCGAAAGCUAGGGGAGCAAACAGG
RNAcentral lists this ribosomal RNA (253 nucleotides) under uncultured bacterium. Its description in RNAcentral is "partial 16S ribosomal RNA". It matches the Rfam family "Bacterial small subunit ribosomal RNA", at positions 524 to 776 of the family's 1533-position model. The record is from RNAcentral.